CGGCAACAGCUCAGAUUUGAAAUCUGGCCUUCGGGUCCGAGUUGUAAUCUGUAGAGGAUGCUUUUGGCAAGGCGCCUUCUGAGUCUCCUGGAACGGAGCGCCAUAGAGGGUGAGAGCCCCGUACGGUUGGACGCCGAGCCUCUGUAAAGCACCUUCGAC
Molecule: ribosomal RNA, 159 nt
Filed under: Annulatascaceae sp.
Lineage: Eukaryota; Fungi; Ascomycota; Sordariomycetes; Annulatascales; Annulatascaceae
Description: partial large subunit ribosomal RNA
Rfam family: Eukaryotic large subunit ribosomal RNA
Source: RNAcentral